UCCCUUGUGGCUCAGACGGUUAAGUGUCUGCCUACAAUGCAGGAGACCCAGGUUCGAUCCCUGGGUCGGGAA
Molecule: transfer RNA, 72 nt
Filed under: Ovis aries (sheep)
Lineage: Eukaryota; Metazoa; Chordata; Mammalia; Artiodactyla; Bovidae
Rfam family: tRNA
About the family: Transfer RNA (tRNA) molecules are approximately 80 nucleotides in length. Their secondary structure includes four short double-helical elements and three loops (D, anti-codon, and T loops).
Source: Rfam by way of RNAcentral